This 471-nucleotide ribosomal RNA is filed under the name uncultured bacterium. Its description in RNAcentral is "bacterial SSU rRNA". It matches the Rfam family "Bacterial small subunit ribosomal RNA", at positions 335 to 799 of the family's 1533-position model. The record is from RNAcentral.
ACUCCUACGGGAGGCAGCAGUGGGGAAUAUUGCACAAUGGGGAAACCCUGAUGCAGCCAUGCCGCGUGUGUGAAGAAGGCCUCGGUUGUAAAGCACUUUCAGUAGGGAGGAAGGUAGUGUAGUUAACACCUGCACUAUUUGACGUUACCUACAGAAGAAGCACCGGCUAACUCCGUGCCAGCAGCCGCGGUAAUACGGAGGGGUGCGAGCGUUAAUCGGAAUUACUGGGCGUAAAGCGCAUGCAGGCGGCCUGUUAAGUCAGAUGUGAAAGCCCGGGGGCUUAACCUCGGAAUUGCAUUUGAAACUGGCAGGCUAGAGUCUUGUAGAGGGGGUAGAAUUUCAGGUGUAGCGGUGAAAUGCGUAGAGAUCUGAAGGAAUACCAGUGGCGAAGGCGGCCCCCUGGACAAAGACUGACGCUCAGAUGCGAAAGCGUGGGGAGCAAACAGGAUUAGAUACCCUGGUAGCACAGAG